UGGGGAAUCUUGCACAAUGGGGGAAACCCUGAUGCAGCGACGCCGCGUGAACGAUGAAGCCCUUCGGGGUGUAAAGUUCUUUCGGCAGGAACGAUAAUGACGGUACCUGAAGAAGAAGCUGCGGCUAACUACGUGCCAGCAGCCGCGGUAAUACGUAGGCAGCAAACGUUGUUCGGAGUUACUGGGCGUAAAGAGUACGUAGGCGGUUUGCCAAGUUUGGUGUGAAAUCUCCUGGCUUAACUGGGAGGGUGCGCCGAAUACUGGCAGACUUGAGUAUUGGAGAGGAAAGCGGAAUUCCUGGUGUAGCGGUGAAAUGCGUAGAUAUCAGGAGGAACACCGGUGGUGUAGACAGCUUUCUGGACAAUCACUGACGCUGAGGUACGAAAGCGUGGGUAGCAAACAGGAUUAGAUACCCUGGUAGUCCCUGAGCGGGCUGGCAAGGCGCAU
Molecule: ribosomal RNA, 447 nt
Filed under: uncultured bacterium
Lineage: Bacteria
Description: bacterial SSU rRNA
Rfam family: Bacterial small subunit ribosomal RNA
Source: RNAcentral